GGAAGUAAAAGUCGUAACAAGGUCUCCGUUGGUGAACCAGCGGAGGGAUCAUUAA
RNAcentral lists this ribosomal RNA (55 nucleotides) under Monosporascus eutypoides. Its description in RNAcentral is "partial 18S ribosomal RNA". It matches the Rfam family "Eukaryotic small subunit ribosomal RNA", at positions 1778 to 1831 of the family's 1831-position model. Lineage: Eukaryota; Fungi; Ascomycota; Sordariomycetes; Xylariales. The record is from RNAcentral.